Long non-coding RNA from Microcebus murinus (gray mouse lemur), 1179 nucleotides. NCBI's taxonomy places the organism in Eukaryota, Metazoa, Chordata, Mammalia, Primates, Cheirogaleidae. The record is from Ensembl.
CUUAAGGGCAAAGCAGGUUCCCUCGAGAAAGACAAGAAAUUCUGCCAGUGCUGUAGCACCAGCUCCUGACCGAGAGUUGCCCAGCCAGAACCCACCAUUGAGUGAGUCAGUCGCUGAGAUCGGUCUGCUUCCCUGUCAGGACCCUGGCCGACACCAGGAGGAAGCGGGCACCUCUCCCUUCCAUUCAUUCUCUGGGUGCUGACUUGGAGCCGUGACAAACUCUAGACACUGCGCUAGACCCUGGGAAUGUCACAGACACGUUACGGGACAGCAGGGAACACUGGCGUGGAAAAGAUCCUCCUCCCGCAGAGGGAAGCUGUGAGGGGCCCGGAGAGACAGAGUGGAUGGCACUGAGCCGUGAUCUCUUGGGGAGAGGAGCUGCUGGCUGCGUGGUCCCAGCCAUCCUCCACCCACCUGCUGCGGCGUGCUCUCCCCUGGAACUUCCCUUCACAGCCGCAGCACAGCUGUGAUGAGAUCACUGGCCAUGUCACCACGUCUCCAACACCUGCGCCCUCACCGGAGGCCAGCCCCCGCGCACGCCCCGACAAGUCUUCCAGGAGCGAGCAAAGAGCCCGCGACAAGGAGGAUGGAAGGCGGCGCGGCCGUGGGCAAGGCCUACCUGUGCACCUGGUGAUCAGCACUUACCUAGACUUCGGAGGUGAGAGGAUGGUCACAAAGAUGCACAUCAGACCUUGGUUUGAGCUGAAAGAUGAAGCCCACUCUUCCCUCAGAGAAAGUGUGUCUGAUAAGCGUGUUGGGUUGGCAGCGAGAUUGUGCCAACUUUGCCAACUGGUUACUUUGGUGGAUAUUUUCCAUCAAUCAAAUGAAUUCACUCUAUAGCUUUAAAAUUUUGUCAAAAAUAUACGUAGAGCAUAUGACAAGAGCAUUUAAUAAUUGGGGGAAAGCAUAUUGAAAUUAAUAUUUUAAUUUUUCCGAUUCUUUCUGCAUGUGUCUGGUUAAACAAAGUGCCAUUAAGUGAAAGAGUGACAGGUACAGCGUAUCCACAGCUCCCAGAUAACUCUUUGGUGCACUUCUCCAGAAACUGGUAGAGUGAAGGGCUCUCGCGACUGUGUAACAAAUCUCUGUGCAAUCCGAGUGUUUCCAACAAAGUGAAGACAUAUCAACAAGUUGAACAAAACCAAGUUGUCCAUUGACUGAUGAAUAAAUACAAUUUACAUG